Molecule: non-coding RNA, 203 nt
Organism: Pelobates cultripes (western spadefoot toad)
Lineage: Eukaryota; Metazoa; Chordata; Amphibia; Anura; Pelobatidae
Source: the annotation of a GenBank genome assembly
GCUUAGUCUGUUAGGAGUCUCUGUGUUUGCUCCUUGCUUGUCUCUCCCGUGCGGCUUCUUCGUAUGAUAGGAGGAAGUGACUUGUAAUCACUUCCUCCUGGCACUGCGGCAUCGUACAAAGCAGGGGCCCCGGUCGCGCUAUUUCAGAGCCGUGGUGUCUGACCGGGUCCCUGAAUCAACGUGCGGAUGGUACUGCAGCUGUG